UGAUUAUUAGUUGUAAGAGGUUGUAUUAAUUUAUGGUAUUGAAAAGAAUGAAUUAUGUAUCAGAUUCAUUCUUUGAUGAAUCUGAUACUGAAACAAUUUGAUCUGCUGAGUGAACAAAGAUUAAUCCAAGGUUUCCAACAUUCUAAAUGUCCCUAGGUAGAUUGAAUGUGUACUUGGUAACUUCAUGAACUCAAUAACUAUAUGCUGGGUUUCAAGUGUGGGAAUACGUACUCAACAAAAUUUGGCUGACUGGAAAGCAGGGA
RNAcentral lists this unclassified non-coding RNA (263 nucleotides) under Hevea brasiliensis (rubber tree). The record is from RNAcentral. Lineage: Eukaryota; Viridiplantae; Streptophyta; Magnoliopsida; Malpighiales; Euphorbiaceae.